Daphnia pulicaria is the source of this 645-nucleotide long non-coding RNA. RefSeq lists it as uncharacterized. The record is from RefSeq and is a predicted model, not a curated record. Lineage: Eukaryota; Metazoa; Arthropoda; Branchiopoda; Diplostraca; Daphniidae. The transcript has 4 exons.
UGGCGCCGACGACAUCUGCCGAUUGUAUUCAUCCAAAUCAACAAAAUUGUCGUCUGCUACGACUGGUCGUUCAGUGUUUGAGACUCACGUGAAAUAAUUUGGUUUCGAAUAGGUUUUUUGCGUGACAGCUGGUGCAACUGAUUUGUUUAAUAAUAUGAAAUUUGCUGUCUAUUUGGUGGCCGAAUCCAGUGCCAGACUAGGCUCGUUUACGGAAUUUGCUCGAAUCCCAGAGGCUGUAUUCGAAAUCCCAUUACUUUUGCUACACACUCGUGGUGCUUCUGCUCCACAUUUGAGCUAUGAUCUCUUACAAAUGCAUGGUUUCAACUGGGCACCACAUGCUUCAGAUGCCUCUGGUUACGCUUGUUGAUCACACAAAAAAUGUGAAAGCAUUCGGAAAAGAAAUAGCUGAGUUUGCAGGUUUGAAGGAAUAUUUUUAAAUUAUGUGUCUGUGCAAGAUUCUGGCACUGCAGCAACACCUGAGGGCUACCAUGAAAAGAACUUCAUUUCUCUGUGGACAAGAGGUGGAAGGAAACUUAUUGACCCCCAGACUUACAUAUCUUGCAUUGAAGCAUUGAAACCAGACAUGUUUCAAGCGAUAGUUGAUCAAUGGAGAUACAACUCAAAGCAGUUCAGCUAAAAGGGUUC